GUAGACAUAAUUUAACAAAAAUAUUAGAUUGUGAUUCUAAAAAUGAGGGUUAAAGCCCCCCUGUCCACC
Molecule: transfer RNA, 69 nt
Filed under: Leiostomus xanthurus (spot croaker)
Lineage: Eukaryota; Metazoa; Chordata; Actinopteri; Sciaenidae
Description: tRNA-His
Rfam family: tRNA
About the family: Transfer RNA (tRNA) molecules are approximately 80 nucleotides in length. Their secondary structure includes four short double-helical elements and three loops (D, anti-codon, and T loops).
Source: RNAcentral